Molecule: ribosomal RNA, 118 nt
Filed under: Lepisosteus oculatus (spotted gar)
Lineage: Eukaryota; Metazoa; Chordata; Actinopteri; Semionotiformes; Lepisosteidae
Source: RNAcentral
AUCACUAGCCAUAUCACCCUGCAAGGAACAUCUGGCAGCCCAAUGAAGCUCAGCAGGUGUGAGCCUGGCCAGUACCUGGAUGGUAGACCUCCUGGGAAAGCUAAGGUUGCUGCUGGAA